CCUUGUACACACCGCCCGUCACACCACGAAAGUCGGCAACACCCGAAGCCAGUGGCUCAACCCUUUUGGGAGGGAGCUGUCGAAGGUGGGGUCAGCGAUUGGGGUG
RNAcentral lists this ribosomal RNA (106 nucleotides) under uncultured bacterium. RNAcentral describes it as "partial 16S ribosomal RNA". It matches the Rfam family "Bacterial small subunit ribosomal RNA", at positions 1379 to 1482 of the family's 1533-position model. The record is from RNAcentral.